UCGGGGGUCUAUAUUCACUGUAUCCACUGUAUUCACUGUAGUCACUGUUUUGUCCUUACAAGACGUAUCUUUCAUUUGAUACUGUCUGGGGUCUGUAUUCACUAUAUUCACUGUAGUCACUGUUUUGACCUUACAAGACGUCUCUUUCAUUUGAUACUGUCUGGGGUCUGUAUUCACUGUUCUGACCUGACAAAACAUAUCUUUCAUUUGAUACAGUCUGGGGUCUGUCAUUCACUGUUUUAGACCUUACCAGCUGUACCUUUCAUUUGGUACUUUCUGGGGUCUGAGUCUCUACUUGUUAAACUGAACCAGGCGUGUCGUUAGUUCGAUACUCCCCUGGAGUCUAUGAUUCCUUGCCUUAGUCAGUAGUCCUCACUGCUGAGGCAUAUGAUGUUCCCUGAGACGUUUGCUUUCCUCAAUAAUCAAAUUCAGUAUUUUGAUAAUGAUAUCAACUUAGGGAAACUACUUUUACCACACAACACUGACCAGUCUUGGUAGAAGGCUGCUUUGUCAAAGAAAAUAUAGGAUUUUCUGGAAAGAACUCUAAUACACAGUAAACACUUAAACUUCUGCUUUAUAAAGUUAUUUGAAUAAACGUCACUAAAUACUUAUGAACUCACCAGCAUUUGUAAAAAUGCUGAUACUCGCUUUUCAAAUAACUUGUAUUCUCAGGUCAAAGAUUAGACAGGUACUUCCCCGGAGCGGUUGAUGAAGAUAACUUAGUACCACGCUGUAUUUAUUCUAUUACCUGUAUUACUUUGAUGUAUUAAUGUAACCAUGUAAAACUAUUACUAUUAAUGCAAUGUUUUGUUGUACUUUGAUUACUAUAAUGCAUGUGUUGUGAUACUUGACAUGACGUCAUCCACCCAGGACGUUUCCGCCGUUUCCGGUUUUGGGGUGUGACAGAUUGGUAUCAGAGCAUUGUUUAUAGUGAGCUAAGUAUAUCAAUUCAUAAAAGAUAUACAACCUAUAAACACAAAGGGAUAAAACACUCUGACCAAGAAUUAUACUUUAAAAUAUAACCAUAUUUUACCAAAGUAUAAUAACAUCCAGAAUCUAAACACUUGAACAAAAGUAUCACAAGAAGAACAAUAAUAAAAGUCUUCGGACGUUGAGCACUACAGUCAAACCUAGGCAGUUAUGUAAUCGUAAGCUGGAAUAAAUGUAACCUGAUCAACUACAUUUAUCCGAGAUGCGAUGAACGUGUGCUUGGGAGUGAUAGUGGCGUACAACAUGUCUGAAACUUACCAAUUAGGGUGCUAGAGCAAAACAUAAAGUUAAAAUACUGUAGGAGUAUUUUUGAAUGCUAAAAGAUUCACACUAAUCCCAUAAUCAUAUUCAGAAGAUAAGAAUCAAACAAGAAUUAAAAUACCAUAGGGGUAUUUUAGGAAUNCGUGAAUAACUAAAAGAUCCUUAUUGACAUACCUACAACUACAGAGGGUGUACUCCCAAGGGUAUAUAUAUAAUAAGGAUCCCAUAAGCUAAGAAUGUGUGGUUUCGCCCUAUUUCCUUUUCCUUGUUUGGAUGUGGAUCUAGAGUAGUAUCACAUAUUCGAAGGCCUAUCGGAUCUAAGCUAUAUAUGAUUUGUAUACCCUGUGUAAUUGUAGCAGGACUCGAUAUGGAUCAUACAGUGAAAUGUUAAUAAUCUCUUGGGACUCUUUAGACAUUUCCAUUCUCGCGCGAACCCUGUAGACAACCCUACCCACUUCAGUGCUUGACAGAAGAGUUGACGUCGACCCCGAAGAAGUUCAUUGAGAAGAUUUCCUGUUCGGAAAUAAAUGAACUGGGUCGAGACUAUUGAAUGCACCAAGUGCCCAUAUUCUUUUAGGGACAUCAGUGAGGAAUUCGCCUAAACUUCGGAGAUUCCCAGUCAUCCAUCAUGAAGUGAUGACACCCAGAGUUGGAAUCAGACGGAAGGCGGAGUAGAAAUUCAAUAUGUCCAUACGAGAAGAGAACCCUAGGAAACUAACCGAAGGAAACCAACGCUGAUUCCAAUCAAAGACACGAGGCAGUCCGAGGGAGCCAGUACAUGGAGCCUGGGAAUUGUCUCUUCCUCGUGUUCUUCAUGCUAACACACCCAUAAAAUAAUACAAUUUAGUGAGUUAGUGGUUACACUACUCACGCUAUGUGUUAGGUAAGUCGUUGAUUCCCGUUGCCAGUUACACGAUUAGGGCGGGUCCCCGCACCUUAUUGAGAGUGCUUAGCCAUGAGCUUUCAUGAGCCUCUCUUUCUGCAGUUCGUUCCGAACCAUCCUCAAAUCUCUCCAGGCCGGAGAGUGAAACCUUUCCCCAGUAUAAAAGGUAACUUAGUAGGAACGACUCGCAUCUUAUGGCCUUAUCCGAUACUCAUACUCCUACCUUGAUUACCAGGACUACAUCAUAGGGAUGUAGGUCGACAUUCAGACAACCAGUACCUAAGGCACGGAAAAAAAUUUAUGCCUAAUUCGAUCAGGACAGAAAUGUCCAGGGUUAACCAUCGUCUCUCAUUGCCUUGUAUUCCUUUCCGUGUAGGAAAACCAUGCCACCGAAGAAGCAUAAUCAGUCCGNAAGCAAGAAACCUGCCCUCUUAUUCGAUGAAGCUACGUUCCAAGCUGCAGUCUCAGCAGCCGUAGCAGCUGUCAUGGCUCACCUGAAUGCUAACACCGCCAAUGUUAGCAAGGGCCCGGUCGGGAUUUCCAAUCCUGGCAAUGGACAGCAGCAACCAACACUUCCAUACUCAGCCACCCAAGAACCUCACUCAAAGCCACUAAAGAGAAAACUCAAGAUAAAGGUGGGAAGUACCUCGGCUCAAGGACCUUCCGAAAGGCAACGAGCUGAGGCAGUCUAUACCCCUGUCAACCCUUCCCUCCCAACUCCAAGAAGACCGUAUCUAGGAGACCUCCCCCACUGCAGCAAGUGCAGCUACCAUCAUUAUGGGGUCUGCCGAGAGCUCUAUUGUGCUAGGUGCCACAUGUUGGGGCAUACUGCUCGCGUCUGCAGAACCCCGGUUGAGUUCAUUACAUCAACCACCAAUGUGGCGACCCGUACAGUUUGCCACCUAUGUGGUAAAAUGGGACACUUCAAGAAGGACUGCCCAACCGAAGGGAAAGACAAAGACACAGGAGGAGUCUAACUCUAAUGCUUAGGGAGAAGCAUCAAGGAACCUGGUAGAUUUUGGUACGUCUCUCGAUCCCAGAUAACUAACGCAAAACAUUAAAAGGCUAAUUCAAUGUAAAUACUUCCCCAUUAAGGCGAAAGUCGCAGCACUGUUAUAAAAUUUAAAAUUCAUUAGGUAAAACUAUAAUGGCUAAACAUAUACGUUACGGCCAUGUAUAUUUAAGAUGGACAGACCUAGAGUGAGCGAAUGCCGCCUCAUUUCCUGUUCCUCGUUUGGUUGUGGAUUUAGGGCGGGGUCGCUCAGUCAACAGUCCUCCCCACCUUAAAUAUACAUGACUAGUAUAUGUGAGGCGAUUAUAGAAAUGCCUUGUGGGAAUUCAUUCAUGAAAAGAUACUCUAUUCGGAAACACUUAGAACUCUUUAUAUUUCCACGUCGACUCUAUCAGUCCAGGUAUCCGCGGUAGUGAUACAUAGGACGAAACCCGAGACGCCUAGAACUUGUGUGCCUGUUUGGCACAUGACUCUAUCGAUCUUCAUUAUAUAUCAUGUGGAAGUAUGCCAACUUCGACAACUCUAUUGGUCAUGGUUUGACUUCGUGCAACCAUGUGUACAUCCUUAGUGCUGUGUAAAAAGAACUUUCUCCAUAGCCAUGUCGGCAAAUAAAGGUUCUUCCGAACCUAACCCUAACACAAAUAAUCAAACCUAAUGUGAUCCGUCAAUCGUCCCUCUUAUCUCAAACCUUCCGAAGUACCCAGGGGAGGGUACCAUACACUGUUGACCGACCCCUCGUAGUCAGAUAAACACCGAAACGAAAGACACUGCAGAUACUUCAAGAAACGACAACCAUCCGAGGCAUACCUCUUAGAUUCCCUCGGGAGAUCCUACGCACCUCGCACAUCAGGUUCGUGAACCCAGAGAAUCGAACUCACGUGGCUGACCACUAUAACCAGGUAUACGCUGGCAUACAUCGAGUAUUGGCGGUUAAGCCAAGCCUGAGUUCUACCACGAACCUCUUAGCAAAACACCUUCACCCUAUUCCAUAACAUAGGAGCCAGAGUCAAGAAAAUCUCUGCGAUUUGAGCAAGUAAAGUCCUGAGUGAUGAACCAUGUACCCACUAGGUUUGACCUAGAUCGAGAAAACUCAGAACCAUCGGAAGAGUAGUUGCAAUGGAUGCUCUAACUACUCAGGCACCUUGCCCACCCUGUUAUAGACAGGUAGUGCCUAUCAUCCUCCACCCUCUUGCAUGGAGGAAAUCAUCGUCGCCCUGUAGACGAUGAAAUACAUUCUCCGAAGUGAACACUAGGAUACCGAGAACCACACGAUAACCUUCGCAGUCAAGAAGAAUUGGUCAAGUGUGAAAGUAGUUGCGUUAAAUCUCAUGACCCGGAUCCCGAAGAGAUCAUAGGCUUGACACCAGCCCUUGGUGUUAGUCGAAGAGUUAUGCAGGAACAUGCACUUUCCACGCUAGAAUAAAACCACAGUCUUAGAGAUUUGUUGGACUAUUAGGUGUUCCACGAAUACCAUCUCACAUAGAGAUAGUGGAACCACCUCCCGAGGUAGUCCAACACUCGUCUGGUGAAACCCUAUAUUCCCGACCUUCGGGGUUUUCGCAUCUCAAGCUUCGUUAGUGCAGGUUCUUUUUGCACAAGCUGAGAUGAACACUCUACAGCAAACCGAUAACCAUAGCCUCACAACCCACUCAACGAUCUAGAAAGUCUCUAUCAGCCAGUUGACAGAAAACACGAAAUCGAAGACCACCCGAGCUUUCUAAGAACUAACUUGAAGGACUACACAUCCAGUACAAGUGAGAACGAUAGGAACUUUGGAAUGGCGAUCACGCCAGUGAUAAUCUUGCCAUAGAAGUACACUAUGUCCCUAUUACUGGAAAGCUCUACUCCUUUUCGAGAGCUUAGGACCAUCCGAGAAUCCUCAUGGAGACAUGGUCCAACCCUUUUCAGGCGACUACAACUUUCGGAUAUACCAUAAGAUUCACAUUCGAUCGAUCCACUUCUUAAACUUGAUACGUGAUUCCCCGAUAACACUUUUUGUGCCUUACACAUCUUGAUAGAAACCAUUGAGGACCCUGACUUCAUAAAUAUACCAGUUGGAACCCACUAACUGCACUAGACGGAAUCCGCAUCCCGUACAUGAAGGUCUGUCGGAAUGACAAACACAGACUAGAGUUCACUUGGGAAUGCGAGGACAACCGUAUAGGAAGUACCCUCUUACCUCUACUUGUCUAUUCAUACCUACUUCCUUGCCUAGACUUGAAUUUCGGGGCGAAAUUCCCUCUAACGGGGGGAUGAUGUGACAACCCAAGUUGUCCCAUUACAUUUCCCCGUUACCGUUAACGGAAUAUUCCACUGUAUAAAAGUUCCGUUAAUUAGAAGUCGUCAAUUUAAUAAACAUCCUAAUUGUUUAAAAAUGCUGUUAAGUCGUGAUAAAAGGAAAUAAAACACAUAACACAUAUUUCCAUUUAUUUGGAAAUGUUAAGUUUUAUUAUUAGGGCCACUAAAUCGGGUGCGACCAAAAGCCCCGUUUACCGGCAGUAUUGGGUAGAAUUCCACUGAGCCCCGACUCAAAACCCUAUAUAAGGGUGAGUGGAGUCCAUUGGAGACUUUCUACACUCUCUCUCUAUACUCUCUCUCUAGACUCGUUUUAGCCCCGAAUCCACAACCAAACGCUUCCAAAUUGAAAGUUUGCUUACCCUAGCUUAUUCUAAACAUAUUGAUUUGUGUUUAUAGCCCAAAAAUCGGACUUAGAAGCUAUGGAAAAGGAGUUUACGGCCUAAGCUCCUCCUUAGGCCGUGAACACCCAAACAAGGCCAAAAUGACCCAAAUUUGUCCCUAAUGGCUUAGAAAUAAAUUGAGGUAUUAGCCUAGGAGUGUUUAAACAUUAAAACUCAUGGAUUUAGGGGGUAAAAGAGAGUUUACAGCCCAAGCACAAGCUUAGGCCGUAAACCCCUCAAAACAUUGUUAAAAUGCCUCCAAAAACUCCCAAACCACCCUAGGGCUUAACACAUAAUUUAGGGACUUAGUAUCUUGGGUUUAACACAAUUAAACACAAUGAAAUGAUAGGGAAAAAGGAGUUUAUGGCCAGGUAUAUACCAAGGCCAUAAACACCCCUAAAUGUGCCCAAAAGUGUGAUUUUUGCUCCCCAAAUGGCCUUAGACAUUUACCAUAAAAUACUAGGAAGGAUUCAAGGACUUAAACACAAGAAAUGGAGGGAUUAAAAGGAGUUUACGGACCAAGCAAUUUUCUAGGCCGUAAACUCCCCAAAACUAAUUCAAAUGAUAGAUUUAAUCCCCCAAAAUAGCAUCACACUUCAUUAGAAAUCACUAGAAAGGCAUUAGGGACUUUAAACUUCACAAAACUCUAAGGAUGAGAUUUUGCGGCUGUAAACUCCCAUAGGAGUGUCCCUAGGCCGUAAAGUCCUAUAAAGUGCCCUUAGAAGCCUUAAAACCACUCAUGCCUUNAAGUACUUAGAAUAAUCCAAUGAACAAGUAGAAGCCUUAAAACACACUAGAUACCCUCACGAUGAGUUUACGGCCGUAAACUCGUGGUGAGAUGUCCCUGGGCCGUAAACACAACUUUGGGAGUUUACUCUCGGAUAAUAAUCUCCAUUCCUAAGCCAUACGCACCUUUAGACGCUACCCGGGACACCCAAACACUUAUCCAAAGUGUUUUCUGCUCCUUUGAGCGCGUAUAUUUUUUUAAUUAGUAUUAAAUAUACUAAUUUUAUGUGAACAUAUGUAAUCAUAUGUUAAAUAGGUCAUUGUGUGUGUUCAAGUCCUUGCGUGACACCGAACGCCCAAACGACACCUUCGUCGGACCUACUUACACCAGGUGAGUUCAUACCCCUGAAUGAACCUUUUACUGCUUUUAAAUGUUUUUAUAGGGGGGGAUUACAAGUUAAACAUGCCAGUUAUCAUAUCAAUCACAUGUGAUUGAUAACCUGCAUGCACAAGAUUUUACCACUUUACACUGUUGUACUGAGUAGAACACUAUAAUGAUUUUUACUUAUUUCAUAACUUUUACUUAUACUGAUUUAUCCAAAUUCAUUCUAAAUUGGUUUAUGAAAGAUUCUCUAAGGUUUUUAAAACAUAUUUUACAAAAGAAUACAAAUUGUGAUUUUCUCUAUACAUAAAGGCUUUUCAUCAAAGAUUCCCUUUUUCGACAUAUACUUUUACUUGUUAAUUAUUGGCGCUUCGCUUAUACUCAUUUUAUACUCCUACUCGGUAACGCUUUCACUUAUACUUGUAGUCGCUUAUACCUGAUGACACUUAUACUUAUUCACGCUCUUACUUAGUGAUACGACUCUACUUCAAUUAUACUUGAUACGCUUUUGCUUCACUUAGCGUCGCCUCUACUUCGUGAUGCGCUUAUACUUGUUCGACACUUCUACUUCACUUACGACCNCUGUUCUGACCUGACAAAACAUAUCUUUCAUUUGAUACAGUCUGGGGUCUGUCAUUCACUGUUUUAGACCUUACCAGCUGUACCUUUCAUUUGGUACUUUCU
Molecule: long non-coding RNA, 7616 nt
Filed under: Lactuca sativa (garden lettuce)
Lineage: Eukaryota; Viridiplantae; Streptophyta; Magnoliopsida; Asterales; Asteraceae
Description: long non-coding RNA (LSAT_LNC008705)
Source: RNAcentral